GUGUUCCUAUGGCUCAGUUGGUAGAGGAUGGCACUAGUGAUGCUAAGGUUGUGGGUUCAAUUACCAGGGAACACA
RNAcentral lists this transfer RNA (75 nucleotides) under Megalops atlanticus (tarpon). RNAcentral describes it as "tRNA-Thr". The record is from RNAcentral. Lineage: Eukaryota; Metazoa; Chordata; Actinopteri; Elopiformes; Megalopidae.